UUGAAGAGUGGCGAACGGGUGAGGAACGCGUAAGAAUCUACCUUUCGGUUGGGGAUAACUUCUGGAAACGGGAGCUAAUACCCAAUAUGCUGUGGAGUGAAAGAUAUAUCGCCUUUGGAUUGUCCCGCGUCCGAUUAGCUAGUUGGUGAGGUAAUGGCACACCAAGGCGACGAUCAGUAGCUGGUCUGAGAGGAUGGACAGCCACAUUGGGACUGAGACACGGACCAGACUCC
This 233-nucleotide ribosomal RNA is filed under the name uncultured bacterium. RNAcentral's name for it is "partial 16S ribosomal RNA". It matches the Rfam family "Bacterial small subunit ribosomal RNA", at positions 88 to 339 of the family's 1533-position model. The record is from RNAcentral.